UCAACCCCAGUUUUUAGUCACUCACCUAGGAACUCGGCGGCUGCUUGCGGCUCCAGUUUUAGGGCUCGCUUCUCUUUCCGCACUGUCCUCUCUACCGCCGCCGGCGUGAUGCAGGCCGCUAGGAGGCGGUGUAGGCCGAGAGGGGGCGGUGCCGCCGGGGAGAGCGGCGGCGGCCGGCCGGGGAGCGGGACCGCGGCACCGAGCGCGCCGGUUACAGGAGGGUGCUGCGGGUGGAGUGGGCGCUGCUCCAGCAGCCGGCGCAGGAGCUGCAGGAGUUCACGGUGGGGUUCCAGCUGGGGAGGUUCCACUGGGGGCUCCGCGUGAAGCUCUUCCUAGACCCCGACCUGUCGGACCUGUGCCACCUCCACCACUACCGCUAGCUCCUCCUCAAGUUCGAGCUCUAGGGGCUGGACCUCCGACUGUUCUAAUUGAGCGAAGGCGAGCGGUAGCUCAUGCAGCGGUUGGUGGGGUACCGGCCGACUCGCGGGCGGGAAGGGUAACGGCUGGCGCGGCCCCACUCCGGAAAAGAACAAAGACAAAGCCCCACUACUUAUUAACUGACCUCAACAAGUCCUUUUGACCAGGGACCACGAGACGUAACACCGCCAGCGACAACUAGAACCUACGUUGACAUUGUAAGACGUCAUAGUCGACUACUUGAUCGGAACAACCGGCGUGCGAACAAAAAACAACAUCAUAUGGACAAAUUAGAUUUAACCUUAGAUGAGUACAAAAAACAAAUGAGGAGUAAUCGUAACAUGAGGGAGGCAAGUGUUUAUAUUGUACAAAACCUAUAAGGUUUAACCUCAUGUAUGCCUGACUUUACUCACUUAUUUGUGUGAUUUUGUACAAAUA
Molecule: ribosomal RNA, 855 nt
Filed under: Triticum aestivum (bread wheat)
Lineage: Eukaryota; Viridiplantae; Streptophyta; Magnoliopsida; Poales; Poaceae
Description: partial small subunit ribosomal RNA
Source: RNAcentral